RNAcentral lists this ribosomal RNA (353 nucleotides) under uncultured bacterium. Its description in RNAcentral is "bacterial SSU rRNA". It matches the Rfam family "Bacterial small subunit ribosomal RNA", at positions 8 to 350 of the family's 1533-position model. The record is from RNAcentral.
AGAGUUUGAUCAUGGCUCAGGAUGAACGCUGGCGGCGUGCCUAAUACAUGCAAGUAGAACGCUGAAGGAAGGAGCUUGCUCUUUCCGGAUGAGUUGCGAACGGGUGAGUAACGCGUAGGUAACCUGCCUGGUAGCGGGGGAUAACUAUUGGAAACGAUAGCUAAUACCGCAUAACAGUAGAUGUUGCAUGACAUCUACUUGAAAGGUGCAAUUGCACCACUACCAGAUGGACCUGCGUUGUAUUAGCUAGUUGGUGAGGUAACGGCUCACCAAGGCGACGAUACAUAGCCGACCUGAGAGGGUGAUCGGCCACACUGGGACUGAGACACGGCCCAGACCUCCUACGGGAGGCA